CGUAACAAGGUUUCCGUAGGUGAACCUGCGGAAGGAUCAUUACC
RNAcentral lists this ribosomal RNA (44 nucleotides) under Diplodia seriata. RNAcentral describes it as "partial 18S ribosomal RNA". It matches the Rfam family "Eukaryotic small subunit ribosomal RNA", at positions 1790 to 1831 of the family's 1831-position model. Lineage: Eukaryota; Fungi; Ascomycota; Dothideomycetes; Botryosphaeriales; Botryosphaeriaceae. The record is from RNAcentral.